UACUUUCUUCGGGAACAGGUGCAAAUCCUAACCGGCGGUAAUAACCCGCGAGCGAAUAGCUGAUCUGGUGAAAUUCCAGAGUCGACAGUAUAGUCUGGCAGGGAGGAGAAGUUA
This 114-nucleotide non-coding RNA is filed under the name Halobacteroides halobius. RNAcentral describes it as "FMN sequence". It matches the Rfam family "FMN riboswitch aptamer (RFN element)". From Rfam's summary of the family: The RFN element is a highly conserved domain that is found frequently in the 5'-untranslated regions of prokaryotic mRNAs that encode for flavin mononucleotide (FMN) biosynthesis and transport proteins. RNAcentral also lists the same sequence under 1 other name. The record is from RNAcentral. Lineage: Bacteria; Bacillati; Bacillota; Clostridia; Halanaerobiales; Halobacteroidaceae.